AACAAAUCCCCCUGAGUCCAUUGUAAAUGAAGCAGAAAGAAUUGUGGCCAGGGCUAGCCGGAAUAACAUUUCCUCUGCACACAAGAUCAUAUCAUCCUGCCCACCAAGCUUGGGAAGACAUUACUCAGCCUUCAGUUCAACUAUAACUUAUUUCAUUUCAAGUACCAAGAUAAUACUUCUUAAGUGGCAACAGAAUAUAUAGAAACAUUCAGAAGACAGAGAUUUAUACUUAAAUAUGUAAGAAUACAAUGCAGGAAACAUAGAAAUAAUGAGUUAUACGCCAUAAGGACACAGAUAUUUUUCCCCUGUUCCUCUUUGACAACUCCAUGGAUUGCCAUCAGGCCAUCAGGAUACAAUUUUGUGGCUCUACUCCCAGAAGUUUGAGGUGUUUUUUCCUUAAUGGAUAUGUGGGAGAUAAGUCUUGUCUGAAUUUCACAGAUGAUUAGCCCUGAGCUAACUACUGCCAGUCCUCCUCUUUUUGCUGAGAAAGCCUGGUCCUGAGUUAACAUCAUGCCCAUCUUCCUCUACUUUAUAUGUGGGAUGCCUACCACAGUAUGGCGUGCCAAGCGGUGUCAUGUCCGCACCCGGGAUCAAAACUGGCAAACCCGGGCCGCCAGGAAGCAGAAUGUGCAAACUUAACCGCAGCGCCACCAGGCCGGCCCAACCCCUUUGAAGCCAUGAAGAGGAAAAGUACUCUUCCAAGCCUUAGCUUCUUUUAGGAAAAUCUUGUCCCCCAAAUAAAACUCUUCCCACACACUUUAUAAAAACAAUGGAUUAGAAGAAAGAGUAAAUAUGAUUACCGGUAGCUCAAGCCCUCAGCCUAAGUAGAAGACUAGAAUAGCCAUCUCUAAGUCCAAACCCAAACAAGGAGGAACGUGGGAAUGUUGUGGAGUGUAGGAAAGUUAGUUAGUCUUAGAUGUGGCAGAAAAUUUAAAACAAAAAAUAAACACAAACUGAUAAGAUCAAUGACAGUUCACUACAGAAAGAACAUCUCUCAUUAAAUGGAAAAAUAAUGAAUCUAGUGCGUCAGUUUGCAAAAUACUAGGGAGUCCAAAGGAAAAGGAUUGGAAAGCUUGCAAGAUCUGAACUGGCUUUCUUAAAAAGGCACCACUUACAAGGCAGAAAGGGGACCUUGUGUAGUAGUUUCGUAGGCUGCAUAACAAAUUACCACACAUUUAGCACCUUAAAACAGCGUACAUGUAUCAUCUCACAAUUGCUGUAAGUGAGAAACCUGGGCACUGCUCAGCUGGGUGAUGGUCUGCAAAGCUACAAUCAAGAUAUCAUGAGGGUUGGAUCAUCAUCUGGAGGCUUGACUGGGGAUGGAUCCACUUCCAAGAUUACUCAGAUUGUUGGAAGAAUCGCAUUUUUUUAUGGCUGUGGAUUCCAUAGGAGCUUAUUUAUUCAAAGACAGCAACGGAGACAGAGACUCUAGAGCAAGUUUGCCAGCAAGAGUUUUCUGUAACAUGACAAAAAUCACGAGUGACAUCACAUCAUCUUUGCCCUAUUGUGUUGGUUACAAGCAAGUGACAGGCUCUGCCUACACUCACGGAGAAGAGACUGCACAACAGCACAAACAGCAGGAACUGGGAAUGAUGAAGACUGCCUAGCAAUCUACCUGCCAUAUCUUGGAAAAGAGAUAUUUUCCAGGAAACUGGGUGGUGAAAAAUUGUUUUUGAAAUGACUGACACACUAAAUCAUGCUAAACAUAGCAUAAUAUUUACAAAAUAUUAGAAAAAGAGGGAAAUGUAUCAUUCUUGGUUAAAAAAAUAUUGACCUUCAUUUAAAGUUCUCUUGAAAUAAAACAAUCACCCUAAGCCACCAGUACUUCUCCCCCACUCCCACGGAUUCACUUCUGACACCAAGUCCAGGAAAAUAGUGCAAAUAUGUAAUUCUAAGGACAAAAAAAGUCAAAUUUGGCAUUGAUAGAAAGCAUACUGAAACAAGAAGACAAAAAAUGAUAAUCAAAUAUCUGAGUAUCUGAAAACAAUGUACCAGACCCCAAACUGUCUAAAAGGAAUAAUUAGACAAAUAAAACAGUACACACACUUUUCUUGCUUCGUUUUCUAACGUGAAAGAAACAGUACCUAAGAAGGUUUUUCAGAUACCCAGUUUCAUGAGUUUUAGGUUUAUAUAUCAACCUCUCAGUUUUUACUGUAGCUUGAUGAUGUGUCUAUCUACUAACUUUAUCUUAACUAAAG
Equus caballus (horse) is the source of this 2198-nucleotide long non-coding RNA. The record is from Ensembl. Lineage: Eukaryota; Metazoa; Chordata; Mammalia; Perissodactyla; Equidae.